ACGCACGUUGGCGGCAGGCAUAACACAUGCAAGUCGGACGAACCCUUCGGGGUUAGUGGCGGCCGGGUGAGUAACGCCUGGGAUUAUACCCUUUCGUACGGAAUAGCCUCGGGAAACUGAGAGUAAUUCCGUAUGUACCCUUCGGGGGUAAGAUUUAUCGCCAAAGGAUUAGCCCGCGUUGGAUUAGGUAGUUGGUGGGGUAAUGGCUUACCAAGCCGACGAUCCAUAGCUGGUUUGAGAGGAUGAUCAGCCACACUGGGACUGAGACACGGCCCAGACUCCUACGGGAGGCAGCAGUGGGGAAUCUUAGACAAUGGGGGAAACCCUGAUCUAGCCAUGCCGCGUGAGUGAUGAAGCCC
RNAcentral lists this ribosomal RNA (359 nucleotides) under uncultured bacterium. RNAcentral's name for it is "bacterial SSU rRNA". It matches the Rfam family "Bacterial small subunit ribosomal RNA", at positions 29 to 416 of the family's 1533-position model. The record is from RNAcentral.